This 373-nucleotide ribosomal RNA is filed under the name uncultured eukaryote. RNAcentral describes it as "partial 18S ribosomal RNA". It matches the Rfam family "Eukaryotic small subunit ribosomal RNA", at positions 592 to 976 of the family's 1831-position model. The record is from RNAcentral.
CAAUAGCGUAUAUUAAAGUUGUUGCAGUUAAAAAGCUAGUAGUUGAAUUUUUGCUUGCCGCCGAUGUCGGAACUUCCGUACGUUCGGCGGCGUGCAUCCUUGGGUGGAACCUGUGUGGCAUUAGGUUGUCGUGCAGGGGAUGCUCAUCGUUUACUGUGAAAAAAUUAGAGUGUUCAAAGCAGGCUUACGCCGUUGAAUAUAUUAGCAUGGAAUAAUAAGAUAGGACCUUGGUACUAUUUUGUUGGUUUGCGCACCGAGGUAAUGAUUAACAGGGACAGUUGGGGGUAUUCGUAUUCCAUUGUCAGAGGUGAAAUUCUUGGAUUUCUGGAAGACGAACUACUGCGAAAGCAUUUACCAAGGAUGUUUNCAUUAA